This 407-nucleotide ribosomal RNA is filed under the name uncultured bacterium. RNAcentral describes it as "partial 16S ribosomal RNA". It matches the Rfam family "Bacterial small subunit ribosomal RNA", at positions 30 to 526 of the family's 1533-position model. The record is from RNAcentral.
AUUGAACGCUGGCGGCAGGCCUAACACAUGCAAGUCGAGCGGAGCCGCGGACGGGUGAGUAAUGCCUAGGAAUCUGCCUCUUAGCGGUGGAUAACGUCCGGAACCGGGCGCUGAUACCGCAUCCUUACACUUGAGCAUAUGUCGGAUUAGCUUGUUGGUGGGGUAAAGGCCUACCACGGCGACGAUCCGUAACUGGUCUGAGAGGAUGAUCAGUCACACUGGAACUGAGACACGGUCCAGACUCCUACGGGAGGCAGCAGUGGGGAAUAUUGGACAAUGGGCGAAAGCCUGAUGCAGCCAUGCCGCGUGUGUGAAGAAGGUCUUCGGAUUGUAAAGCACUUUAAGUUGGGAGGCGUUACCAACAGAAUAAGCACCGGCUAACUUCGUGCCAGCAGCCGCGGUAAUAC